GAGCAGGGCGCGGAGGUGGAAGACGCGCGGAAAGAGGCAGUGGAAGUGGAGGGGGCCGCGGCGCGCGAGGUUCGGCAAUGCGUCGACCAGCGGUGACGCUGCUACAAGCGUGAGGUGCGUCGCUGCAAGGCGCUCAAACCGGUAGCCAACCGUUGCCGUCGGCGACGAGGGCGGUGGGCAGCUGCACAUCGCCUGCACGGGCGAGGGCAUGGUGUUCGUCACCACAUUGGCUGGCUUCCUGGUGGACGUCGAGCUCCUUGACCUGCCCUCCGGCGCGCCGCUGCUGGACGAGCUCGCCGCUGGCCCCGCCCUCCGGGGCGCAGCUGCUAGGCGAGCUCUCCGUUAGCCUCGGCGCCGACGGGUUCCGCCCCUCGGACCCGCUGCUGCUCGUGCAGGUCACGGAUUUCGCCUGCAGUGGGUUCAUCGCCGGCAAGUUGCUCUUCAGGUGUGCCCGGCUCUUGCUUUCCUUUCUUGUCUUCAGUUGUUUGCCAGAUCUUGUAUAAAAAAAAUGUUACUCUUUGUUGUUAAUCGUGUCUUGUCAUUUGCUCAUUAAAAUUACUACUACCUGAUGAUGGAUGGAUCAUGGAGAGAUAAAUCGAUUUAUCUUCUAUAAUCUUUCGCCUGCUAUUAUAUUGCCGUGGUAUAAUCUGCUACUCUGCCAUGUUCUGAAUGUUCCUAGCUUUUCAGCCUUCCAUGCUCCAAGUUUGCGCCUUCAAAUUCAGGCUCUUGGGAGCCAGAUAGUAGGAAAGUAUUAGCAUUUCUUAUUUCUUAUUAGCUGCUAAUUUUUUGCUUGAAUAGUGAUAAUUUGCUAGGAUUUUGCAGUCACAGAUUAUUGUGAAACCCGAAGAAGCUUUACAAUAAUCCUGAAAUGCAAUAGAAAGAAACCCAUUCAUAUAUCUAUAGCUAUCACCUUUCACGCUUCUCCACUGUUAUUUGUUUACCUCUAAUUUUCCUUUCCUUAUUUUAGUCUCAUGUUAAAAAUAUCCCAAUUUAUUUUUUAAUGCUCUAUACUAUUCAGUCUGAUGCUGGACAAAAUAUCAUUAAGGAAUCUCAACUUAUAGCUCCCCAAAAUGAAAGAAGUGAUCAAGGUGAUUAGCAUGAAUGUCUUGGAUGUUUUAAAGACAGAUCAAAUCUUGAUCAUUCUGAUUUUUUUCACUGUUAACUCCAUGAAUGCAAUUCGUUCAAAGAAAUGAUAACGGCGUCAAAGGAGGAGUACGAGCAACUUCCUCCCUACAUGAAGAGUCUAGCAUCCUGGGAGGUCUGAAUUUCUUACCCACUUGGACGCCUAUAGAACUGUAUGCAUGCUGGAUAUGCAUAGUCACAAAAUUACAAUAUGUGUUUCUUGAAAUUAGUAACUUUACUCUCUAAGUAAUAAGUAAAUCAGUUGAAGACAAAUAUUCUGCAGCAUCUUCACUUGCUAUUUCCUCAAAUUAUUGCUUUUUUUCCUUUGUCUUCCUGAUACAAAAUGGACUCGUGGUGUCGUGAUUCAUGAGCCGGGGCAAUAGCUAUGUUAUCAGUGUGGUCUGCCUCAGAGUUGUUUUGUUCCAUUAGGAAUUGCAGGAUGGAAUAUGCGAAUUAAAUUCAUACUUUGGCAGUAACAAUGCAUUGAAUCAAAAUGAUACUAGAGCAAUAGGACUUGGUAUGUGCAGUUACUUCUCUUCGCUUGUAAAUUUGGAAAUUUCACAUGUUAUAGCACUCUGGACAAAAAACUUUUUGUUAGGUUGUUUCAUUGCCACAUGCUCUUGAGGAAUUUCUGGUUGUGUUAUGGUAGUUAGCCAUGGUUCUUACAUGUGGCAAAAUUACACUCUUUGAGAAUAGCAAUCGUGGUUUUCAAAUAUUAAUUUUUGGAAGUAUUGUGACAUAAGGCUUGAGAAUUUAUUCUUAAAUGUGUGAAUUUCAUCCUAAAUUUCUUUAAAAGAAAUUCACUAAUGCAUUUGUGAUGAUGCCUUCAUGCAACAGCAAAGAAAAUUGAAAAGGAAAUGAAAGGUGUUGAUCUAAAUGUUCAUGCACUUGUCAUCCUUAUGUUAGAAAAAGUCAUUCAUUAUUUUCACAUCCCAGGAACAAUAGGAAUUUGAGUACAUAUGCACAAUUUAGACUGCCACUAUGCUGUAUAGAGUACACGAGUACCAUAAUGCACACCCUGCACCUGUAUUUCCUUAUACUCAUUUGUGGUCUUUGUGAUAGGUUUUGACUUUGGAGUAUAAUGCCUGUAUCAUGUCCUCAUUGUGCAACAGAAGGCCCCUGGUUUUGUUAUUCUUCCUGCUCUCCUAUGUUUAUUUCUAAUUUUCUUGUGUGGCUUCUUAACAGGUUGGAAAAUUGCCAAUAGAAGUUGUUGCAUCCAGAGGAUAGGCGAUGCACUGGUACAACUGUCGGAGUUUGUGACUAUGAACCAAUGUGAUGGGCGAACUCAAAAUGGCGCAACUUGCAGGUAGAAUGGGAUGAACAUGAGUAUGGAGAAGGACCUGAAAGAGUUAGCCUAUGGGAUAUUAAAACCCCAGAAAACUCUCUGGUUUUCUCUUCUCCAUUGAAUUUGAAGCAGCUAAGUGGCUACCCAGUUAUGGAGUUCAUGGGCUGCAAAUUGAAUCCGUAAAUAUGUCAUCAAUUCCAAGGGCACAAGCAAAUCCUUUUGGUGACUUGAAACACAUGGAAAGGAUCAGCUCAGAGUUGACUUUGAUGCUUCUCAAUCAAACUGGCUAGACGAUGUUAACAUGUUGAUGUUGUAUUUA
This is a long non-coding RNA of Panicum virgatum (switchgrass), 2726 nucleotides long. RefSeq lists it as uncharacterized. The transcript is spliced from 3 exons. The record is from RefSeq and is a predicted model, not a curated record. NCBI's taxonomy places the organism in Eukaryota, Viridiplantae, Streptophyta, Magnoliopsida, Poales, Poaceae.